RNAcentral lists this long non-coding RNA (1691 nucleotides) under Sus scrofa (pig). RNAcentral's name for it is "lncRNA (ENSSSCG00005000916.1)". The record is from RNAcentral. Lineage: Eukaryota; Metazoa; Chordata; Mammalia; Artiodactyla; Suidae.
GAUCCAAUGUGGCCGUGAGCUGUGGUGUAGCUUGCAGGUGCAGCUCAGAUCCCAUGUUGCUGUGGCUGUGGUGUAGGCCGGCAGCUGCAGCUCCAGUUCAACCUCUAGCCUAGGAACUUCCAUAUGCCAUGUGUAGCCCUAAAAAGACAAAAAAAUUUUAAAAAUUGCAAAAAUAAGGCCACAGACUCCCCAUAUACACUUCACCCAGAUUCACCCAUUAUUGACAUUUUACCAUUUUUACUGUGUCUCUCCACACACACACAUACACACACACACACACACACACACACACACACACACGAUUAUUAUUGUGGUUGAAUAAUUUGAGUCAGUUGCAGAUGUCAGGACCUUUACUCCUAAAUCUUGAGUGUAAUUCUCCAAAGAACAAAGCCAUUUGCUUACGUAAUUACAGCACACUGAUCACAAUCAGGAAAUUUAACAUCGAUGCAAUAUUAUUCUCUAAUACACAGCACAUAUUCACAUUUCACCAGUUGUCCUGAAAUUCUCCCUUUUAGUGAUUUUUCUGCUCCAGGGUUUAAUCCAGGAUCACAUAUUAUUUUUGUGCCGCCUGACCACUUCAUUCCCCUUCAGCCUGGAGCAGCUCCUCAGCCCGCCUUUGUGGCUCCUGACACUGACAGUUGGGAAAAGUUCAGGCCCAUUUUGCAAAAUGUCACUGGAUGUGGGUUCGUUUGCUGUCUUCUUAUGGUCGGAGUCCACUGAGCAUCUUAUUCUUUGUCCCUCUUGCUUCUUUCUGCAACUCCAGGUGCUUUAUGCUUGUAUGAAAGUUGCCUUCAUAAUGUCUGCAAAGUGUGAGAUAAGUACUGCUUGGUUCAGUUCGGCCCAUUUUGUGGAUGGACAAACUGAACACGCCUAAACGAGUCCCUUGGGAGAGCGCAGGAUAAGGCUAAUUGAAGAGAGUGUGUGACACACUAGCCAUUGCAACUCACCUGCCUGCCUGUCCCCCUCCCUCUUGCUCAUGCCCCGUCUCCCCUUUUCCUUGGGCUUAACUGAUAGGUAAAUUAUUAAGUGUUUGGCCAGGCUGGAGCCAGGAGGCUGUUUCGAGCCUGCAGAUCUUGCUGUUUAGGUUAGGUGGGGAUGAGUCCACUGGCAGCCUUCCAGUGACAAGGGCGUGAUGGAUUUCCCCCCAUUCUUUGAUAUCAGGGCUUUUGUUAGUUUGCAUUUUAUGCAGUGCUUUUCUUCAGCUCAAGGCCUUUUGCAGAGUCUUAUGUAAUGAAAAAUAAUUCUGCAAGGUAGACAGACCAGGCAAGGCCAGAAUACAGAAAGCGAAUUCCUUAUACACACUUGCAGCAACCCUGCUGGGCCCCGUUUGCAUUGGGACAGGGAUAUUCAACAUUCGUGGCCCCUGGGGACCCUAAGGGAGCAAAGACACAGGCAAAGGGGGACGGACACAAAUGCCUUUGCUAAGCUUCAGAGAGGCCCCUAUCCCUCUGCUUGGGUGACCGGCUCUCCGGAAAAGGGGACCUCUGGCUGUGGUGCAACAGGAUCUGUGGCAUCUUUGCAGCACCAGGAUGCGAGUAGGAUCCCUGGUCCAGCACAGUGAGUUAAAGGAUCUGGUGUUGCCACAGUUGUGGCAGAGGUUGCAAUGGCAGGGUUCUGAUCCCUGGCCUGGGAACUCCAUAUGCCCAGGCUGGGGGAGGGGGGAGGGGGCCAAAAAAAAAAAAAAAGAAAAA